Molecule: transfer RNA, 87 nt
Filed under: Microbacterium sp. W4I4
Lineage: Bacteria; Bacillati; Actinomycetota; Actinomycetes; Micrococcales; Microbacteriaceae
Description: tRNA-Ser
Source: RNAcentral
CGUCCACCAGCUGAACCGAGCACACCACCCUGCUAAGGUGGAGUCCUCGCAAGGGGACCGAGGGUUCAAAUCCCUCCGUCUCCGCCA